UGAACAUGAAGCUACUGAAUGAUGAUUUAUGGCUGGAAUAAUCACUGCCAUGAGCCCCUCUGGAACAUGCAGCUGGAAUUAGAAUUCCUGAGGAGGAAUCCUAAGUGAAGGGCUGCAGCAAGCUACUCUGGAUACUUGAAGCCAAAUCCCCCUCUGUAAGAUUGAUGGAUGGGUAACUCAACUCAUGGUCUAAAUGGACUUUUUUGAGUUAAUGGAUUGGCAUGCCAGCCUCCUGCCACCUCUAAUCCCAAUUCUGCAGCAGGUUGAUGUGAGACUCCUUUCCUGCGGCUGUUUAAUGAAAUCCUUUGCUGUUGUGGUCUCAGUCCUUUCGGCAUUUAAAAAUUGCUACAGAAUUUGCACCCCAGAUGCUUUUAGAGUCAAAUAACACCAAUCACUUGAAAAAUUGCUGCUCUGACUUCCUUUGAAGACUCCUAUCAGCACAGAAACAACUGUAGCUUAAUCACAGUUUUAUUUGAAAAAGAAGAACACAUAUUCACUUUGAUUAAACUUUUGAGUUCCUGAAGGCCAGAUCCUGUUCCCACUGGUGUCUGUGGCAAAACUCCCAUUAACUUCAAUGGCAACAAAAGCAGCCACUUAGUUUGCAUAAUCUGCAGAAAGUAAAUAUUUUAACACUUGUUAUCUGUGAUAUUUAAGCAGCUAAUAAAAAUGUGCAU
This is a long non-coding RNA of Strigops habroptila (Kakapo), 674 nucleotides long. RefSeq lists it as uncharacterized. The record is from RefSeq and is a predicted model, not a curated record. NCBI's taxonomy places the organism in Eukaryota, Metazoa, Chordata, Aves, Psittaciformes, Psittacidae. The transcript has 3 exons.